CUAUAGCUCAGUUGGGAGAGCGCUUGCAUGGCAUGCAAGAGGUCGUCGGUUCGAGCCCGAUUAG
RNAcentral lists this transfer RNA (64 nucleotides) under Phycisphaerae bacterium. RNAcentral describes it as "tRNA-Ala". It matches the Rfam family "tRNA", at positions 5 to 66 of the family's 71-position model. From Rfam's summary of the family: Transfer RNA (tRNA) molecules are approximately 80 nucleotides in length. Lineage: Bacteria; Pseudomonadati; Planctomycetota; Phycisphaerae. The record is from RNAcentral.